CUGUCCCCGGGCUGCCUGGGAGUCACUGGGGAGUCCUAGCCCGCCCUUGGGCCUAGGGCUCCCUGAUGCGGCCUCCACUCUUCGCAGGGCCAGGGGGCGAGGAAGGAGGAGGGAGGGAAGAGGGAAGCUGGGGAGUGGGAGAGCGUCCUCCACGACCGCUUGGGUCCUCCGCGGGGCAGCCUCGGGGAGGGUGGCUGCAGGGCCCGGAGUCGCCUGGAUCGCAGCGCCAUCUCGUGGCUGCUGGCAGGUCUGCCUUGGGCCCUCUUGGCACAAGGCAAGGAAACAGGAGCUCUUCCCAUCAGUGACAGGUGCCCGCCGGCCCGCACCCAGGAGAAUGCUCCAGUGUCACCAGUGACUCCUGCUCCCACAUCUGCCUACAGGAAGCCCUCUUGGAACAAAAGCAUCUCACUUCUGGGAGGCAUCAAGAGAUGAGGUCUCAAUGAAGCAGUGUUGUUGCCUGGGGUAAAUACCCGGGUUCAUCAUCUCGAGCCAAGAAGAUUAAGGACAUGAACACACAUGAAGAUCAAGGGAGAAGCAGUGAUGUUUUAGUAUCCAGAAAGUGGAAAUAACCCAAAUGCCCAUCAACAGCAGAAUGAAAUUGUACUAUAUUCACACCAUGGAAUAUUGUAUAGCAAAGAGAAUGAAUGAACUAUUAACAGAAAAGACAUGGACAAAUCUCAUAAACAUGAUGCUGAAAGAAACCACAGUCAAAAAAGUA
RNAcentral lists this long non-coding RNA (718 nucleotides) under Homo sapiens (human). Its description in RNAcentral is "HSALNT0298142". The record is from RNAcentral. Lineage: Eukaryota; Metazoa; Chordata; Mammalia; Primates; Hominidae.